GCAUCGGUGGUUCAGUGCUAGAAUGCUCGCCUGCCACGCGGGCGCCCCAGGUUCGAUUUCUAGUCUAUCCU
Molecule: non-coding RNA, 71 nt
Organism: Cordylochernes scorpioides
Lineage: Eukaryota; Metazoa; Arthropoda; Arachnida; Pseudoscorpiones; Chernetidae
Source: the annotation of a GenBank genome assembly